GACGAACGCUGGCGGCGUGCUUAACACAUGCAAGUCGAACGGAAAGGCCCUGCUUUUGUGGGGUGCUCGAGUGGCGAACGGGUGAGUAACACGUGAGUAACCUGCCCUUGACUUUGGGAUAACUUCAGGAAACUGGGGCUAAUACCGGAUAGGAGCUCCUGCUGCAUGGUGGGGGUUGGAAAGUUUCGGCGGUUGGGGAUGGACUCGCGGCUUAUCAGCUUGUUGGUGGGGUAGUGGCUUACCAAGGCUUUGACAGGUAGCCGGCCUGAGAGGGUGACCGGCCACAUUGGGACUGGGAUACGGCCCAGACUCCUACGGGAGGCAGCAGUGGGGAAUAUUGCACAAUGGGCGGAAGCCUGAUGCAGCAACGCCGCGUGCGGGAUGACGGCCUUCGGGUUGUAAACCGCUUUCGCCUGUGACGAAGCGUGAGUGACGGUAAUGGGUAAAGAAGCACCGGCUAACUACGUG
Molecule: ribosomal RNA, 468 nt
Filed under: uncultured bacterium
Lineage: Bacteria
Description: partial 16S ribosomal RNA
Rfam family: Bacterial small subunit ribosomal RNA
Source: RNAcentral